Molecule: ribosomal RNA, 428 nt
Filed under: uncultured bacterium
Lineage: Bacteria
Description: partial 16S ribosomal RNA
Rfam family: Bacterial small subunit ribosomal RNA
Source: RNAcentral
GUGGGGAAUAUUGGGCAAUGGGCGAAAGCCUGACCCAGCAACGCCGCGUGAAGGAAGAAGGCCCUCGGGUUGUAAACUUCUUUUAAGAGGGACGAAAGAAAUGACGGUACCUCUUGAAUAAGCCACGGCUAACUACGUGCCAGCAGCCGCGGUAAUACGUAGGUGGCGAGCGUUAUCCGGAUUUACUGGGUGUAAAGGGCGUGUAGGCGGGAGUGCAAGUCAGAUGUGAAAAUUAUGGGCUCAACCCAUAACCUGCAUUUGAAACUGUUCUUCUUGAGUGAUGGAGAGGCAGGCGGAAUUCCGUGUGUAGCGGUGAAAUGCGUAGAUAUACGGAGGAACACCAGUGGCGAAGGCGGCCUGCUGGACAUUAACUGACGCUGAGGCUCGAAAGCGUGGGUAGCAAACAGGAUUAGAAACCCCGGUAGUCC